GUCACGCCCGAAGUCGUUACCCCAACCGUAAGGGGGGGGGAUGCCUAAGGUAGGACUGAUGACUGGGGUGAAGUCGUAACAAGGUAGCCGUACCGGAAGGUGUGGCUGGAUCACCUCCUUUUAGGGAGACCUAAUCUAUUUAGAAAUCGAAAACAAUGAAAAUUGUCAAUAGAAACUAAAGUGGUCUAACCUAGGUCGUUCGAGAUUGGUAGAUAUCUUUCAAAGUAUUAUUCGGCUUCGUUCAAAACCAUAUAUAAAUGGAAAAAGACAGUACCUAAUUGUCAAAGUUAGACUGCUGGAUGAAAUUCCAGCCCGAACCUUGAAAACUGCAUAAGAGAACGAGAAAAAGCAGGCAGACACAGACAUUUAGAUGGAUGUGAAAGCAAAAGAAAUUGUGGUCAAGCUAAUAAGGGCUAAUGGUGGAUACCUAGGCACACAGAGGAAGGGC
This 448-nucleotide unclassified non-coding RNA is filed under the name uncultured Nostocaceae cyanobacterium. Its description in RNAcentral is "partial contains 16S ribosomal RNA and 16S-23S ribosomal RNA intergenic spacer". The stretch from base 1 to 121 matches the Rfam family "Bacterial small subunit ribosomal RNA", at positions 1414 to 1533 of the family's 1533-position model. Lineage: Bacteria; Bacillati; Cyanobacteriota; Cyanophyceae; Nostocales; Nostocaceae. The record is from RNAcentral.